CCUGUGCUUAAGGAAGAAAAAUCUAACAGUUUCGUAGGGACCUCGAAGGAUUCUUAUCGAUUAUGGGCAGGGUUGGAGCUGGCUUCAAGGAAGUGCCGGCCAGGCCUUGUAUCCAACACACAACUUGUGAACCCACCCUGGCCUUUGGCUUUGGAAUCGUUAAUAUUUAGCCGUAAUUGACAUAGAAUGUUUGAGAGAAUUGGAAAAAUGAUUAUACAAACUUUCAACAACGGAUCUCUUGGCUCUCGCAUCGAUGAAGAAACGCAGCGAAAUGCGAUAAGUAAUGUUGAAUUGCAGGAUUUUCAGUGAAUCAUCGAAUCUUUGAACGCACCUUGCGCCCCUUGGUAUUCCGAGGGGCAUGCCUGUUUUGAGUGUCAUUAAAUCCCUCAACCCCUCAGGGGGCUUGGACUUUUGGAGCGUGCUGGCGGUGAUCGUCGGCUCCUCUUUAAAUGCAUCAGCGGAACCCUCGUUCCCCGUUUCGGCGUGAUAGAUCUAUGUUGCGCCGCGUAGGGGGGUGGUCAAGUGGUUUUUCCGCUUCCAAUCGUCCUCGGACAAAAGAUCGUUGACGGCUUCACCACAAUGAGUUAGGGUUAUCUGCUAAGA
RNAcentral lists this unclassified non-coding RNA (603 nucleotides) under uncultured fungus. RNAcentral's name for it is "partial contains 18S rRNA, ITS1, 5.8S rRNA, ITS2 and 28S RNA". The stretch from base 219 to 377 matches the Rfam family "5.8S ribosomal RNA". The record is from RNAcentral. Lineage: Eukaryota; Fungi.